AGGCGACCCGAGCCGCCAGCCGGGCGUGACUUCUCCAUCAUCUUCCUCCACCUGAUUCGUAGAGACCUCUGGACAUCUGAGCCUAAGCAGGGCCACUAAAUGAGAGAGAAUCCCAUCACUGAAAAGCAACAAUGAAUAUAUUAAGGACCACAGGAGAGAUAGAAGAAAUAUUGCAACUGAAGCUGCUAGAUGGUUAUGAUUAUCUGAAUAGGUGUGAUCUUGACUUUAGCGAAUUAACAGGUUGGUAAAGGAGGCAUUAUUACAUAGAAAGAAGACACAGACUCAGAAAUAGGUUAUGUACUUCAAUCUAAAAGGAAAAGAUGGGAAAAAAUUCUAGUUGAUAGAAGAUAAGAAAAAGAACUAAUGGCACCCUAGAGAUAUUAUAAUAAACGAAAGACAUCAAA
This 404-nucleotide long non-coding RNA is filed under the name Homo sapiens (human). Its description in RNAcentral is "non-protein coding SMIM15-AS1:26". Lineage: Eukaryota; Metazoa; Chordata; Mammalia; Primates; Hominidae. The record is from RNAcentral.